This 253-nucleotide ribosomal RNA is filed under the name uncultured bacterium. RNAcentral describes it as "partial 16S ribosomal RNA". It matches the Rfam family "Bacterial small subunit ribosomal RNA", at positions 524 to 776 of the family's 1533-position model. The record is from RNAcentral.
GACGAAGGGGGCUAGCGUUGUUCGGAAUUACUGGGCGUAAAGCGAGUGUAGGUGGUUGUCCAAGUUGGAUGUGAAAGCCUUGAGCUCAACUCGAGAAAUGCAUUCAGGACUGGAUGGCUAGAGGACCGGAGAGGAUAGUGGAAUUCCCAGUGUAGUGGUGAAAUACGUAGAGAUUGGGAAGAACACCAGUGGCGAAGGCGGCUAUCUGGACGGUUUCUGACACUAAGACUCGAAAGCGCGGGGAGCAAACAGG